UACGUAGGGGGCUAGCGUUGUCCGGAAUCAUUGGGCGUAAAGAGCGUGUAGGCGGCCCGGUAAGUCCGCUGUAAAAGUCAAAGGCUCAACCUUUGAAUGUCAGUGGAUUCUGCCGGGCUAGAGUCCGGAAGAGGCGAGUGGAACUCCUGGUGUAGCGGUGGAAUGCGCAGAUAUCAGGAAGAACACCAACGGCGAAGGCAGCUCGCUGGGACGGUACUGACGCUGAGACGCGAAAGCGUGGGGAGCGAACAGG
RNAcentral lists this ribosomal RNA (253 nucleotides) under uncultured bacterium. RNAcentral's name for it is "partial 16S ribosomal RNA". It matches the Rfam family "Bacterial small subunit ribosomal RNA", at positions 524 to 776 of the family's 1533-position model. The record is from RNAcentral.